AGCUCGAACCGCCCUUCUCCGCUCCAUCUGCGCCGCCCAUUGCACGAUGGACGGCGGCGAGUACGCGUCCAGCCGCGGCCCGGGCGCUCCGACGCCGGCGCGUGUCUCGCUUGCCCACCUCGGCUCCCCCUCCCCUCGCCGCCUCUCUGGCUGUUUCGAAGAGCCGAGCCGGCCGGCGCUGAAGAAGAUCGCUUGGGUCUCGCUCCAGGGCCGCCUCGUCGGCGCAGAGGAGGCCACAUCGGCCGGCGCAAUCGGAGGCGGCUUGAGCGCUGAUGAAGCGGUGGCAUGGGAUCUCUUUAGCCCUCUCCAUCGGGUCCUCGUAGUCGCCGUCGUCGCGGCAGCCGCUUACAACUCGAAGAGGGCUCGGCAGAUCGAACAGUUUCAGAGAUCCGUAGAGCUAAGGGACGAGGUGCUCCUCAGCAUGCAGCAGAAGCUUGAUAAUUUAUGUGAGCAGAUGAACUCCCUUCAGGAUCAACCAGUCAAAUGCAUUUCGGGGCUUUCAUUGGAGAAUGAUCAAUUCAAUUCUGAGGUGAAGCAAUCACAGGUUGCAUCUCAAUUUUGUGGUUCUAGGACUUCACUGCUGGAGCUUAACCCUGAGAGUGGAAGUUUGCCUCUUUGUAGACACGUAUCAAGUGGGCUACAUGGAGGGAAAGAUGCCACUGGGAUAGAGUCUGCAAAAGAGGAGGCCUUCAACGCAGAUAAUUUGAUCCCAACGGAGCAAGAAGAGCGUCGGAUGUCUGAUUUGUCUGAUUUUAAUUGGAGUGUUACAUCUUCUGUUGACUUUCAGCUAAGUGCACUAGCAUCAGAGCAAGAAUUCUAUAACCUUCGCAAGGAGUGUGAAGAGAAGGAUGCAAAAAUAAAGGAAUUAGCUAUUGCUGUUGAUGCAUUUAGGGCUGCUGACUGUAAGAGGAUAACGGAACUUGAAGAAAUCAUAAGGAGGAGGAACUUGGUGAUCUCCAAACUGAAGAAAGAUAAGGCUGUUCUCGAGAAACAGGUUGUUGAGCUUACAAGGCUCCGGAGAAGUUCUUCUACUGCUUUGGACACUAGCAAUCUGCAGCCUCCAGUCAUGGCAAAUAAUAUCCUGUAUGACAUGAGUAGUACUAGUCCAUCAUCUUCUGACCCGGAUUCUCCUAUGACCAGCAAACAAUACCAUUCUCAACGUUCUGUUGCUGAGGAUAAUCCUCAGCGUCAUGACAUUAGAAUGGCUGAAAUUAUAAGUCCAUCCUCAGUGGAGCAUUUAAUUCCCUUGAACAAAUCAAAUGAUGGGUCUCUAAAGCAACAAUUUAUUAGUCCUCUUAAAGAGAACCAAAGGAUUCAGAGAUCUGAACCAGCUUCUGCAUUAAGACAGAGACGAAUUGUGCAUUUUAGUGAAGAUUCCAAGAGAACCAGAAGGGCUGCUCACCAGAAAGCAAAUUACACCUCUUCAAAAAUGAGAUGGACCUAAAUAUUAAUGUCAAUAGGGACCAAGAUGGCACUUACAAUAUCUUUGUACUGAGGCAUCCUAUUGUUGGAUAUGCAUUCAAUUGGUUCUGUUGGACAAGUUAUUGAUGACAUUCAAGUUUAUAUUCUGUGAAAUGUACAUGAAGAGCAGGUACUUGAAGAGGAAGCAUUGAUGAUAUGUAGGCACCGGGUGGAAUUAUCAAUUUUGUACAGUUUUAUGGCACUGCAGCUGAAACCCAACAAAAACUUGUUUAUUUAAGAAAAGAUUAUAACAUACUGAGAGUUCUAAGAUUUUAUUUGUCAUAUGUUAAUGCUGAACAAUUUUCAGGUGCAAACACUAAUGCAAGCUGUGCAAUGCUCAUUAAUCUCCA
Molecule: non-coding RNA, 1811 nt
Organism: Musa acuminata subsp. malaccensis (wild Malaysian banana)
Lineage: Eukaryota; Viridiplantae; Streptophyta; Magnoliopsida; Zingiberales; Musaceae
Source: RefSeq, a predicted model, not a curated record